GACUUUACAACAGCCGCGAGAUACAAUAGAGGGAACAUGCUCAGACUACAGGUCUUUUGGGUAUUGAGAAACCAAAUCAAAUGUGCUUUAAGGAUCCCGCAAAGGUAAAAGCAGGUCCUGGAAAGAAGGAGUAAAAACUAAACUAGAGGCUGAGUCCAAAGUAUGCAAUGAUCAAGAAGGAUUGUGGAUGCACAACUGUUAUGGAAAUAUAUAAAUCAGUUUUUGUGUUAAUCAUGUAUUUUUCUUAAAGUAGUAAGAGUUACCUAAGUUCUAAUUACUAUUGUAAACUUUGUGGCCUGGAGUCUACAUAGGGUGGGGGUCUGCAAGUACACUCAAAGCUAUAAAUUCAUCCAACCAUCUUGUGGAAUACUAGGCAAAGUAGG
Molecule: long non-coding RNA, 383 nt
Organism: Fundulus heteroclitus (mummichog)
Lineage: Eukaryota; Metazoa; Chordata; Actinopteri; Cyprinodontiformes; Fundulidae
Exons: 3
Source: RefSeq, a predicted model, not a curated record